This 544-nucleotide ribosomal RNA is filed under the name uncultured bacterium. RNAcentral's name for it is "bacterial SSU rRNA". It matches the Rfam family "Bacterial small subunit ribosomal RNA", at positions 355 to 893 of the family's 1533-position model. The record is from RNAcentral.
UGGGGAAUAUUGCACAAUGGGGGAAACCCUGAUGCAGCCAUGCCGCGUGUGUGAAGAAGGCUUUCGGGUUGUAAAGCACUUUCAGCGAGGAGGAAAGGUUAGUAGUUAAUAACUGCUAGCUGUGACGUUACUCGCAGAAGAAGCACCGGCUAACUCCGUGCCAGCAGCCGCGGUAAUACGGAGGGUGCAAGCGUUAAUCGGAAUUACUGGGCGUAAAGCGCGCGUAGGCGGCUGACUAAGUCGGGUGUGAAAGCCCCGGGCUCAACCUGGGAACUGCAUUCGAUACUGGUCAGCUGGAGUAUGGGAGAGGAUAGUGGAAUUUCCGGUGUAGCGGUGAAAUGCGUAGAGAUCGGAAGGAACAUCAGUGGCGAAGGCGACUGUCUGGCCCAAUACUGACGCUGAGGUGCGAAAGCGUGGGGAGCAAACAGAUUAGAUACCCUGGUAGUCCACGCCGUAAACGAUGUCAACUAGCCGUUGGGGAACUUGAUUCUUUAGUGGCGCAGCUAACGCGAUAAGUUGACCGCCUGGGAGUACGGCCGCAAGG